UUCAUCUAUAAGUUCCUGACUGGGGCUGCUGCCUUUUUUUCAGAGAUGCCCUGCCCAGAAAGGAAAUAAUCUAGAUAGGCAUCCUGCCAUAGUGGCCUUGCUGAGCUGUGGUGGGCUCCUCCCAGUUCAGAGUUCCCAGAGGCUUUGUUUAUGCAGUGAGGAGAAAACCAGGUGCUCAAGCCUCAGCAAUGGUGGAUGCCCCUCCCCCCGCCAAGCUCGAGUGUCCCAGGUGGACUUCAGACUGCUGUGCUGGCAGCGAGAAUUUCAAGCAAGUGGAUCUUAGUUUCCUGGGCUCCGUGGGCAUAGCAUUCACUGAACUAGACCACUUGGCUUCCCGGCUUCAAUUCUCUUUUCAGGGGAGUGAACGGUUUUGUCUCGCUGACGUUCCAGGUGCCACUGGGGUACGGGAAAAACAAACAAACAAA
This is a long non-coding RNA of Sapajus apella (tufted capuchin), 425 nucleotides long. RefSeq lists it as uncharacterized. The transcript has 2 exons. NCBI's taxonomy places the organism in Eukaryota, Metazoa, Chordata, Mammalia, Primates, Cebidae. The record is from RefSeq and is a predicted model, not a curated record.